Molecule: ribosomal RNA, 461 nt
Filed under: uncultured bacterium
Lineage: Bacteria
Description: bacterial SSU rRNA
Rfam family: Bacterial small subunit ribosomal RNA
Source: RNAcentral
AUUGAACGCUGGCGGCAUGCCUUACACAUGCAAGUCGAACGGCAGCACGGGAGCAAUCCUGGUGGCGAGUGGCGAACGGGUGAGUAAUAUAUCGGAACGUGCCCAGUCGUGGGGAUAACGUAGCGAAAGCUACGCUAACACCGCAUACGAUCUAUGGAUGAAAGCGGGGGAUCGCAAGACCUCGCGCGAUUGGAGCGGCCGAUAUCAGAUUAGGUAGUUGGUGAGGUAAAGGCUCACCAAGCCGACGAUCUGUAGCUGGUCUGAGAGGACGACCAGCCACACUGGGACUGAGACACGGCCCAGACUCCUACGGGAGGCAGCAGUGGGGAACUUUGGACAAUGGGCGCAAGCCUGAUCCAGCAAUGCCGCGUGCAGGAUGAAGGCCUUCGGGUUGUAACGUGCUUUGUUACGGAACGAAACGGUGAGCUCUAAUACAGUUGCUAAUGACGGUACCGUAAGAA